This 210-nucleotide ribosomal RNA is filed under the name uncultured bacterium. RNAcentral describes it as "partial 16S ribosomal RNA". It matches the Rfam family "Bacterial small subunit ribosomal RNA", at positions 568 to 776 of the family's 1533-position model. The record is from RNAcentral.
UGCGUAGGUGGCUUGGUAAGUUGAAGGUGAAAUCUCGGGGCUUAACUCCGAAACUGCCUUCAAUACUGCUGAGCUCGAGGAUUGUAGAGGAGAAUGGAAUUCACGGUGUAGCAGUGAAAUGCGUAGAUAUCGUGAGGAAGACCAGUGGCGAAGGCGAUUCUCUGGGCAAUUCCUGACACUGAGGCACGAAGGGCUAGGGGAGGCAAAACG